CCCAGAGCCAGACAUAGAUGAUUUAAAAAUGGCAAUCUAAAAAAAAACAAACAAAAAAUAGCAAUCUAUUUCCAAUUCCCAAUAAGUGUUACAUGAGUUACAUGUUUUCCAUCUUUUUCUUAAAAUUUUGCUUCUCUUGCUGCUUGUCUGUGAGUCAGCAUGAAUAUGAAUGAAUAAGUGGCAAACGAACUUACUAAAAUCACUUGGAAGCAUCUGGUUUUACUUGGCUCAGCACCUUGGUGNUUUUUUUUUUUUUUGUAUUAUUGUUUUUCUUUGUAAAUAUUUACUUACAUCCUCCUUACAUCGUCCUCAGUGUCAGAAGCAAUGACCCAUCUCUGUGCACUCAUCAAUUCCAGCAUCUUGCUCCAUCCAUCACUCCUCUCCCUUCUACUGGCUUCUUCCCCUCAGCAGCAUAAAAGCUUCUUCCACACAUCAGACAGACAAAAAUAACAUCUCUUCAACCCUGAAAUUUCUACGGCUCCUGAACUCUCUCACCUUCCCUUCCAGGCAAACAACUAGAAAGCAUCAUCUAAAGGCCCCAUUUUUUUCCUUCCUCUUCUCCCAUCCACUCUUAACACCCUGACACUCACUUCACUGACUUCUUCCUCUUAACCGAAGGGUCCUCAAUAACCUCUGCAAGUGAUUUCUAGAUGGAAAAAAGACGGCUGACAUCCCGCAAUGUACUUUUUUCUCUUACAGAAGUGUUGCUCUUGAAAUAUCACCCAUAGCACGAAAUUUCAUGUGCAAACUUCCAAGGCUGCUUCUGCAUGUUACCCUAGGGAGCAGGUUCAGCUUAAUGAGGUGUUAAUACGUCAACCUUCCUUCCUCCUUCCGUCCUUUCCUUCUUAAUAAUCUUGGAAAGAGGAAAGGAAGGAAGGGAGGAGGGUGGAAAGGGAAAGAAGAAAUCUCCAUUUAAUGAAUAUUUACUGAAGGUCAGCCUCUGCCAGGCACUGUCUCAAGCUAGGGCAGUGAACAUGGAGACGAGAACUCUUGCCCCUUGGGGAUUACAUUCUGGUGUCAAUCUCAAAUAAAAUACAAUGUCCUAUUAGUAAAAGCUUACCCAUAAAUACCACAAUGGUAUUUUCGAAUGGAUUAUUUUUAAUUUUUUUAAUUAAAAUAUAUUUUUACAAUGCUGUGUUGGUUUCUGCCAUACAACAAUGCAAAUCAGCCAUAAUUAU
This 1178-nucleotide long non-coding RNA is filed under the name Capra hircus (goat). RNAcentral describes it as "lncRNA (ENSCHIG00010004376.1)". Lineage: Eukaryota; Metazoa; Chordata; Mammalia; Artiodactyla; Bovidae. The record is from RNAcentral.